GAUAACGUAGCUCAAUGGUAGAGCAUCGCCAUUCCCGGCGUGUGUUGUUGGUUCAAGUCCAACCGUGUCUUUCUCU
Molecule: transfer RNA, 76 nt
Filed under: Caudoviricetes sp.
Lineage: Duplodnaviria; Heunggongvirae; Uroviricota; Caudoviricetes
Description: tRNA-OTHER
Rfam family: tRNA
About the family: Transfer RNA (tRNA) molecules are approximately 80 nucleotides in length. Their secondary structure includes four short double-helical elements and three loops (D, anti-codon, and T loops).
Source: RNAcentral